GGCCCUACGGGACGCAGCAGUGAGGAAUAUUGGUCAAUGGGCGCGAGCCUGAGCCAGCCAAGUCGCGUGAGGGAAGACGGUCCUAUGGAUUGUAAACCUCUUUUGUCGGGGAGCAAAAGACGCCACGCGUGGCGUUCCGAGAGUACCCGAAGCAAAAGCAUCGGCUAACUCCGUGCCAGCAGCCGCGGUAAUACGGAGGAUGCGAGCGUUAUCCGGAUUUAUUGGGUGUAAAGGGUGCGUAGACGGAAGAACAAGUUGGUUGUGAAAUCCCUCGGCUCAACUGAGGAACUGCAACCAAAACUAUU
This 305-nucleotide ribosomal RNA is filed under the name uncultured bacterium. RNAcentral describes it as "bacterial SSU rRNA". It matches the Rfam family "Bacterial small subunit ribosomal RNA", at positions 335 to 637 of the family's 1533-position model. The record is from RNAcentral.